Molecule: ribosomal RNA, 440 nt
Filed under: uncultured bacterium
Lineage: Bacteria
Description: partial 16S ribosomal RNA
Rfam family: Bacterial small subunit ribosomal RNA
Source: RNAcentral
CCUACGGGUGGCAGCAGUGAGGGAUAUUGGUCAAUGGGGGAAACCCUGAACCAGCAACGCCGCGUGAGGGAAGACGGUUUUCGGAUUGUAAACCUCUGUCCUCUGUGAAGAUGAUGACGGUAGCAGAGGAGGAAGCUCCGGCUAACUACGUGCCAGCAGCCGCGGUAAUACGUAGGGAGCAAGCGUUGUCCGGAUUUACUGGGUGUAAAGGGUGCGUAGGCGGCUUUGCAAGUCAGAAGUGAAAUCCAUGGGCUCAACGUGGGAACUGCCUUUGAAACUGGCAAACUGGAGUGUGGGAGAGGGAAGUGGAAUUCCAGGUGUAGGGGUGAAAUGCGUAGAGAUCUGGAGGAACAUCAGUGGCGAAGGCGACUAUCUGGCACAUAACUGACGCUGAGGAGCGAAAGCGUGGGUAGCAAACAGGAUUAGAUACCCCUGUAGUC